CUAAAAUACAUUCUCCGAGGCUGUAUUUCCUAAAGAGUAUUCCAUGGAAUACAGCCCUGAGUAAACAUUUUUACUCACGGGGUAUAGCUGGAAACGGUUAUACCUCCCUUUCUUGGAAAGGAGAAUAAGUGAUAGGUUU
This 139-nucleotide non-coding RNA is filed under the name Clostridiaceae bacterium. RNAcentral's name for it is "MoCo sequence". It matches the Rfam family "Molybdenum/Tungsten riboswitch aptamer (Moco RNA motif)". Lineage: Bacteria; Bacillati; Bacillota; Clostridia; Eubacteriales; Clostridiaceae. The record is from RNAcentral.